Molecule: long non-coding RNA, 774 nt
Filed under: Vigna radiata
Lineage: Eukaryota; Viridiplantae; Streptophyta; Magnoliopsida; Fabales; Fabaceae
Description: long non-coding RNA (VRAD_LNC018602)
Source: RNAcentral
GAGGACACAUAACCCUAGGGAGAUUCCUAGGAGGGGGCCGUCAGUCUCAUAUUUUCUUUUUGGUGCUGCAACGUUUUUGGAAACAAUGUUGAUGCUAGUGCUUGAUUUUGGAUGAAUGAAGAAUCAAUUGUUUACUUUUUAUUUUAGUGCACACGUUACUGGAAGAAAGAAAAUGCUUCUCUUAAUUUUCCAUUUCCAUUGAGCUUGUAUUGUGCAUUUGCCGAGACAAGCAUUGUCCUGCAAUGAUUCAUUUCUUUUUUUUUUAUUUGCUGCUUCAUUGAUUUAUGCGAAGAUAAGCACUUGGUACUUACAACAUUUACUUUGCUUUGAAUGAGUAAGAAUGUAGAUUACGUUGAUGGGAUGUGGCAGCUGAAUGAUAUCAAACUUUUCUCUUAUUUUCUUUUAGCAUGAAGAGUGAUGGCCUAGGUAGAAGUAGAUGUGUAGGUGUGUGCAUUGGAUGCUGGAAGGAGAGUAACCUUUUAUUUAUUUUUAUGGCAUGAUGAAUGGAUUAGAUAGGACUAGAUAGGUGUGCGGUGCAAGAUAGGAUUUCUAGGAUUUCUUUUAGAGCAAUUCAUUUCUUCUACUUGGAUGAGGUACGGUGAUGGUAUUGGAAAUUUGAGGAGCCGCCACUUGGAGAGGACAUUUCUUUUUAUCACAUUAUAUUCUUGGAGAAAGGGACACCCACUGCCGCACUCAAUUUUGAAGUUGUCUUUGAAUGUUUAUCUACGUUAAGCUCAUUUGGGGAUUUGCUAAUUGCCCUUUUUGUUUUUUAAG